RNAcentral lists this transfer RNA (69 nucleotides) under Ludioschema vittiger. RNAcentral describes it as "tRNA-Trp". The record is from RNAcentral. Lineage: Eukaryota; Metazoa; Arthropoda; Insecta; Coleoptera; Elateridae. RNAcentral also lists the same sequence under 1 other name.
AAGGAUUUAAGUUAAACUAAACUAGUAACCUUCAAAGUUACCAAUACUGGCCCCCCCCUUUAAGCCUUA